GCUGGUUGGUGAGGUAAUGGCCCACCAAGGCUACGAUGGGUAGGGGUUCUGAGAGGAAAGCCCCCCACACUGGUACUGAGACACGGACCAGACUCCUACGGGAGGCAGCAGUAAGGAAUAUUGGGCAAUGGUCGAAAGACUGACCCAGCCAUGCCGCGUGCAGGAUGAAGGCCCUAUGGGUUGUAAAUUGCUUUUAGCCGGGAAUAAACACCCGUUUUAUAACGGGCCCGAAGGCACCGGCUGAAUAAGCAUCGGCUAACUCCGUGCCAGCAGCCGCGGUAAUACGGAGGAUGCAAGCGUUAUCCGGAUUCACUGGGUUUAAAGGGUGCGCAGGCGGACAUUUAAGUCAGGGGUGAAAUCCUACAGCUUAACUGUAGAACUGCCCUUGAUACUGAAUGCCUAGAGUAAAGCUGAAGUGGGCGGAAUGUGUUGUGUAGCGGUGAAAUGCUUAGAUAUAACACAGAACACCAAUCGCGAAGGCAGCUCACUAAACUUUAACUGACGCUCAUGCACGAAAGCGUGGGGAGCAAACAGGAUUAGAUACCCUGGUAGUCCACGCCCUAAACGAUGAUCACUCGCUGUUGGCGAUAUAUUGUCAGUGGCUAA
RNAcentral lists this ribosomal RNA (606 nucleotides) under uncultured bacterium. RNAcentral describes it as "bacterial SSU rRNA". It matches the Rfam family "Bacterial small subunit ribosomal RNA", at positions 244 to 850 of the family's 1533-position model. The record is from RNAcentral.